This 430-nucleotide ribosomal RNA is filed under the name uncultured bacterium. RNAcentral describes it as "bacterial SSU rRNA". It matches the Rfam family "Bacterial small subunit ribosomal RNA", at positions 355 to 776 of the family's 1533-position model. The record is from RNAcentral.
UGGGGAAUAUUGGGCAAUGGGCGCAAGCCUGACCCAGCCAUGCCGCGUGAGUGAUGAAGGUCUUCGGAUCGUAAAGCUCUGUGGGGAGGGACGAAACAGCCUCUGGCUAACAUCCAGGGGUCUUGACGGUACCUCCUUAGCAAGCACCGGCUAACUCCGUGCCAGCAGCCGCGGUAAUACGGAGGGUGCAAACGUUGCUCGGAAUCAUUGGGCGUAAAGCGCACGUAGGCGGUCCGAUAAGUCGGGUGUGAAAGCCCUCGGCUCAACCGAGGAAGUGCAUUCGAAACUGUCGGACUUGAGUAUGGAAGAGGGUCGCGGAAUUCCCGGUGUAGAGGUGAAAUUCGUAGAUAUCGGGAGGAACACCAGUGGCGAAGGCGGCGACCUGGGCCAAUACUGACGCUGAGGUGCGAAAGCGUGGGGAGCAAACAGG